This 501-nucleotide long non-coding RNA is filed under the name Ricinus communis (castor bean). RNAcentral's name for it is "long non-coding RNA (RCOM_LNC000686)". The record is from RNAcentral. Lineage: Eukaryota; Viridiplantae; Streptophyta; Magnoliopsida; Malpighiales; Euphorbiaceae.
AAAUUUACUUUAAGAAUAGGUAUUUAAAAUUAGAAUCAUCGGCUCAAAUAUAAAUAAAUAAUAAAAUAAAAAUGGAGGGCGUUAACGGCGUUAAAAAGAUGGAAGUAGAGAAAGAGAGAGAGAGAAAUGGGGCCCGCACAAGUGGACGGAGGAGGGAGGAGAGUGUCAGGGGCACUGAAUGGACGUGACAAAUGGCCUUCCCGAGGUGAAAAAUAAAAGAGAGAGAGAGAGAGAGAUUAGAUAAGAGGUAAAACUUUCCUUUCAUUUCCUUUGUCUCUCUGUGUUUCUAUUUUCUACAAAAAUUAAGACCAAAAAAAGUAGUGAGAAUGAAAUCAGAGGCUUCUUCAAAUUGGUGUUUGGGAGUGGGACCCUUUCCUUUCCUUCUUCCAGUUCUUUGCAGCUCUUCCUUUUCCCCUUCCCCUGUCAAUUCACUCCCUGCGCUUCUCUCUCAUUUACCAAUGUGUUUAAUUUUUCCAUUUCUUUUCCACAUUUGCCCCUCCC